This 253-nucleotide ribosomal RNA is filed under the name uncultured bacterium. Its description in RNAcentral is "partial 16S ribosomal RNA". It matches the Rfam family "Bacterial small subunit ribosomal RNA", at positions 524 to 776 of the family's 1533-position model. The record is from RNAcentral.
UACGUAGGGGGCGAGCGUUGUCCGGAGUUACUGGGCGUAAAGCGCUUGUAGGCGGUCCACCAAGUUUGGGGUGACAGUUGCCGACUUAAUCGGCAAAGUGCCUCAAAGACUGGCGGACUUGAGGGCCACAGAGGGACAUGGAACUCCAGGUGUAGUGGUGAAAUGCGUAGAUAUCUGGAAGAACACCAAAGGCGAAGGCAGUGUCCUGGGUGGUCGCUGACGCUGAGAGGCGAAAGCCAGGGGGGCGAACGGG